CAGCCGCCACGGGAAUACGGAGGGGGCUAGCGUUGUUCGGAAUUACUGGGCGUAAAGCGCACGCAGGCGGCUUUGUAAGUCAGAGGUGAAAGCCCGGGGCUCAACCCCGGAAUUGCCUUUGAGACUGCAUCGCUUGAAUCCAGGAGAGGUGAGUGGAAUUCCGAGUGUAGAGGUGAAAUUCGUAGAUAUUCGGAAGAACACCAGUGGCGAAGGCGGCUCACUGGACUGGUAUUGACGCUGAGGUGCGAAAGCGUGGGGAGCAAACAGGAUUAGAGACCCCCGUAGUCCCUGUCUCUUAUAC
Molecule: ribosomal RNA, 301 nt
Filed under: uncultured bacterium
Lineage: Bacteria
Description: partial 16S ribosomal RNA
Rfam family: Bacterial small subunit ribosomal RNA
Source: RNAcentral